RNAcentral lists this long non-coding RNA (722 nucleotides) under Marmota monax (woodchuck). Lineage: Eukaryota; Metazoa; Chordata; Mammalia; Rodentia; Sciuridae. The record is from RNAcentral.
CUUUUGUUCAUCAGAAAUCAGCCUUCGUGGAAGAUCUGUGUGGUCCCCGACGGAACUUCUGGAGAGAUUCUGCCUUCUGCUGUGAUCUGAGUCCUGGGGAUGAACAGACCAACUGUUUCAACAUCAAUUAUUUGAGGAAUGUGGCUCUAGUGGCUGGAGACACUGGGGAUGCCAGGGGUCAGGGGGAGCAGGUCCCAACAGGGGGAACAAAUAUCAGCCCUACCCCUGAGUCCAAGGAAGAAUGAGUCACUCCAGAGCUUUAAAGGAUCGGAUGCGGGGAACCCCACCCUCCUUGAACAUUCAUUAUAGUAACCACCUCUUGGAUUUGGUGUCCUCAUUGUCUGUAACACACAAACACACCCUCUAAGCCUGCUUGGAUUUCCUUCAUUGGCCCCUGAGGCCUACUGCCCUGCCCUCACUAAGGAGCAGAGGAUGUUCCACAGGCUGUGGUGAGACCAUAACUAAAUGACUUAACUUUACUACUUGUCAUUUUGAACUGAUUCACACAUUUUAAAGGGAGUGCAACCUUUUUUAGUUAGCUGUCCAAUUUCAAGGUGAAAAAGAUGCUUCAUGCCUAUAUUUGGGUGUUUUUCUCUUGCUGUUAAAAGUUUUAGCAUCAUCUCCAAUAAUUUUAUAUGGGAGACAACAGAAUUUAUGUUUAGUAAUGUACUCCUUGAGCCUCAAAGAAAAACAAAGGAAAUUGUCUAAUAAAAAAAUAAACA